Molecule: ribosomal RNA, 465 nt
Filed under: uncultured bacterium
Lineage: Bacteria
Description: partial 16S ribosomal RNA
Rfam family: Bacterial small subunit ribosomal RNA
Source: RNAcentral
GACGAACGCGGGCGGCGUGCUUAACACAUGCAAGUCGAACGAAAGGGCCCCUUUGGGGUUACUCGAGUGGCGAACGGGGGAGUAACACGUGAUUAACCUGCCCUUGACUUCGGGAUAACUUCAGGAAACUGGGGCUAAUACCGGAUAGGAAUCCUUGCUGCAUGGGGGGGGUUGGAAAGCUUCGGCGGUUUUGGAUGGACUCGCGGCUUAUCAGCUUGUUGGUGGGGUAGUGGCUUACCAAGGCUUUGACGGGUAGCCGGCCUGAGAGGGCGACCGGCCACAUUGGGACUGAGAUACGGCCCAGACUCCUACGGGAGGCAGCAGUGGGGAAUAUUGCACAAUGGGCGGAAGCCUGAUGCAGCAACGCCGCGUGCGGGAUGACGGCCUUCGGGUUGUAAACCGCUUUCAGCAGGGGCGAAGCUUGUGGUGACGGUACCUGCAGAAGAAGCACCGGCUAACUACGUG